UGGGGAAUAUUGCACAAUGGAGGGAACUCUGAUGCAGCGACGCCGCGUGAACGAAGAAGGCUUUCGAGUCGUAAAGUUCUUUUAUAUGGGAAGAUAAUGACGGUACCAUAAGAAAAAGCCCCGGCUAACUACGUGCCAGCAGCCGCGGUAAUACGUAGGGGGCUAGCGUUGUCCGGAAUCACUGGGCGUAAAGGGUUCGCAGGCGGAAAUGCAAGUCAGGGGUAAAAGGCAGUAGCUUAACUACUGUAAGCAUUUGAAACUGCAUAUCUUGAGAAGAGUAGAGGUAAGUGGAAUUUUUAGUGUAGCGGUGAAAUGCGUAGAUAUGAAAAAGAAUACCGGUGGCGAAGGCGACUUACUGGGCUCACUCUGACGCUGAGGAACGAAAGCGUGUGUAGCAAACAGG
Molecule: ribosomal RNA, 403 nt
Filed under: bacterium
Lineage: Bacteria
Description: partial 16S ribosomal RNA
Rfam family: Bacterial small subunit ribosomal RNA
Source: RNAcentral